Molecule: non-coding RNA, 1725 nt
Organism: Megalopta genalis
Lineage: Eukaryota; Metazoa; Arthropoda; Insecta; Hymenoptera; Halictidae
Source: RefSeq, a predicted model, not a curated record
AGGAUAUUUUGAUGUAAUUCCGUUAAGAAUUAUCUUUAUCAUGUUUAUUACUUUAUCGUAUCUCUGUAUUGGAGAGAUAAAUUUAAUCGUUAAUUGCUAUUAAAGAUUAACAAUAGUAAUUCAAUCGUUAGUCGUCGAUUAAUGUUUUGCUCAACUCUGCCUCAGGGUCGCCACUCGAUUGCAAAGGGUUAAUAAUUUCCCUGAUAGAACGAGACAAUUUUUGUUUCUUCUGUGUUUUCGCUUACUGUCAUCCCUAAAUUUUAAUAACAAAAGAACCAAAUUUUGUUUCGAUUUCAAAAAAAUUAAUGUAAUUCACAUUUAGUAGAUUAUGUUUAGAAUCUCGAUCACGAGUCCGACUCUGUGUGGUGCAUCAUAUUAACCCUCCAAGCCGGUAAUUAAAUUUGUGAGAAUUCAAUUAUUUUUAUUGUAAUAUAAAUGCUGUCCCGUACCAUGUGAUUCUACACAUAAAAAUAAUAAAAAAGCUCAAAUAAACACACGUUCUAUUAGUCUUUGUUUUCGCGUUAAGUCGAGUUGUUAUGAAUGUGAGCAAAUACAGUGCCGCUGUACUUUUUAUUGUUUUCAUGUGUAGAAUCCAUUCCUGAAGUGUGUCUCACAUGCUACGGGACACCCUGUAUUUAAUCUCGUAUAAAACAAAAGGUUUCGUCAAUUUUCGACUUGUAAACAUAUACUAACGUAUACUAGCACGAAAUACUCAUAUUAUAUAGGUAUUUAUACUGUAUUAUAUUUAUACAAUAUAGCGUUUUUAUAUAUACAUGACAACGAAUGUGGGGUCGUUGACGCACACGUGUACGUCGAACCUUGAGGGGUUAAAUAAGUGCCACCGUAAAUCAGAAGAAGAACGUUCCAAUUUUAUUUACAGAAACGAAGAAGCUUCUCCGUGUGCACGGUAGCAGCCAACCUUCGGUCUCGUUAUCUCCGUCCUCCCGUGGCUCGGAUAAGAAAGAAUCACGUGCCCGGUGUCCCCUCCCGCCCUCCAGCUGAAGGAGACUGAAUGAACACCACGUACCCGGCGAAUCCUCCUUCCUCGCUUUCAACGAUCAGCCGAUCCGAUUACCAGGCCGGCUCUGCAUCGGAUCGUGAUUCUUCGGACAAGCCUGUCCGUGCCGGAGACGUAUCGACCGGUAAAGGAUCCCAAUCGGUGGCCAGCAGUGACCCAAAAUAUCCUAAGCCAAAACCGUCUUACAUAAUUGGCAGUGGAUCAAGAACGUACCCGGCGGAGCAGCCACUCUCCAGUCAUUAGACCUUCCAUUAGUGUCGCGGAUGUAAAUGCGUUUCGGAUGGCGAGCAUUAUUAAAUCAGAAGUGGGGUUCUAUUCACCCGGGCAUGUUGUUUUCUAUUCAGAUUGCCUGUAGUUGCUCCGAUGCGAGCAGACUCUGCGAACAACGGAUCACCCUGAUAGCCGAAUGGAGGACACACGAGUUAUUGAACAGAACAUAUUGAACAGGAUUUCGCACGCGGAGCUGUUUAACGUUAUUCGGACAAUUUUCUAAGCUCGAUUUCUGUGUCCGUGAUUAUUUAGUAAUUUUAUUUACUCAGAGAUUUCUGGAUUGUUAUUUUCUUACAGAGGCUCUAUCUAUUUAUCGGCACACGAUCGGCGGAUCUUUUUGAUAAGAAUGUAACCGAGUAUGCUUUUCCUGAAGUAAAAGUUGUAAAUAAGAAAAAUCUGUAGUUGCAAAAAAAUUUGUACGAACCUGCAGUUGUAAA